ACCCGGCUAGCUCAGUUGGUAGAGCAUGAGACUCUUGAUCUCAGGAUCAUGGGUUUGAGCCCCACACUGGGUG
Pangasianodon gigas (Mekong giant catfish) is the source of this 73-nucleotide non-coding RNA. NCBI's taxonomy places the organism in Eukaryota, Metazoa, Chordata, Actinopteri, Siluriformes, Pangasiidae. The record is from the annotation of a GenBank genome assembly.